This 429-nucleotide ribosomal RNA is filed under the name Bacteroidota bacterium. RNAcentral describes it as "Bacteroidetes bacterium partial 16S ribosomal RNA". It matches the Rfam family "Bacterial small subunit ribosomal RNA", at positions 355 to 776 of the family's 1533-position model. The record is from RNAcentral. Lineage: Bacteria; Pseudomonadati; Bacteroidota.
UAGGGAAUCUUCCGCAAUGGACGCAAGUCUGACGGAGCAACGCUGCGUGAGUGAAGAAGGAUUUCGGUUCGUAAAACUCUGUUGUUAGAGAAGAACAGCGCAUAGAGUAACUGUUAUGCGUGUGACGGUAUCUAACCAGAAAGCCACGGCUAACUACGUGCCAGCAGCCGCGGUAAUACGUAGGUGGCAAGCGUUGUCCGGAUUUAUUGGGCGUAAAGCGAGCGCAGGCGGUCAAUUAAGUCUGAUGUGAAAGCCCCCGGCUCAACCGGGGAGGGUCAUUGGAAACUGGUCGACUUGAGUGCAGAAGAGGAGAGUGGAAUUCCAUGUGUAGCGGUGAAAUGCGUAGAUAUAUGGAGGAACACCAGUGGCGAAGGCGACUCUCUGGUCUGUAACUGACGCUGAGGCUCGAAAGCGUGGGUAGCAAACAGG